Molecule: ribosomal RNA, 279 nt
Filed under: uncultured archaeon
Lineage: Archaea
Description: partial 16S rRNA
Rfam family: Archaeal small subunit ribosomal RNA
Source: RNAcentral
GAGACCCACGCCAACAGUUGCCAGCAUGUCCUCCGGGAUGGUGGGGACACUGUUGGGACCGCCUCUGCUAAAGAGGAGGAAGGAAUGGGCAACGGUAGGUCAGCAUGCCCCGAAUUAUCCGGGCUACACGCGGGCUACAAUGGUCAGGACAAUGGGUAUCGACACCGAGAGGUGAAGGCAAUCUCUUAAACCUGUCCUUAGUUCAGAUUGUGGGCUGCAACUCGCCCACAUGAAGCUGGAAUCCGUAGUAAUCGCGUCUCAAAAUGGCGCGGUGAAUAU